GUGCCUACGGGGCGCAGCAGUGGGGGAUAUUGCACAAUGGGGGAAACCCUGAUGCAGCGACGCCGCGUGGGCGAAGAAGUAUUGCGGUAUGUAAAGCCCUCUCAGCAGGGAAGAAGAAAUGACGGUACCUGAGUAAGAAGCACCGGCUAAAUACGUGCCAGAGGCCGCGGUAAUACGUAUGGUGCAAGCGUUAUCCGGAUUUACUGGGUGUAAAGGGAGCGCAGGCGGCACGGCAAGCCUGAUGUGAUAGCCCGCGGCCCAACCGCGGGACUGAAUUGGGAACUACCGGGCUGGAGUGUCG
RNAcentral lists this ribosomal RNA (301 nucleotides) under uncultured bacterium. Its description in RNAcentral is "bacterial SSU rRNA". It matches the Rfam family "Bacterial small subunit ribosomal RNA", at positions 334 to 651 of the family's 1533-position model. The record is from RNAcentral.